Balaenoptera acutorostrata (minke whale) is the source of this 330-nucleotide non-coding RNA. The record is from the annotation of a RefSeq genome assembly. NCBI's taxonomy places the organism in Eukaryota, Metazoa, Chordata, Mammalia, Artiodactyla, Balaenopteridae.
GGCAGCGUCUGGGACGUCUGCACCAUGGCCUGGGCUCUGCUCCUUGUCACCCUCCUCACUCAGGGCACAGGGUCCUGGGCCCAGUCUGGCCUGACUCAGCCUCCCUCAGUGUCCGGGAAUCCGGGACAGACGGUCACCAUCUCCUGUGCUGGAACCAGCAGUGACGUCGGGAAAUAUAAUUAUGUCGGCUGGUACCAACAGCACCCGGGCACGGCCCCCAAAACCUUGAUUUAUGAGGUCAAUAAACGACCCUCAGGGAUCCCUGAUCGCUUCUCUGGCUCCAAGUCUGGGAACACGGCCUCCCUGACCAUCUCUGGGCUCUAGGCUGAG